Molecule: small nuclear RNA, 170 nt
Filed under: Triticum dicoccoides
Lineage: Eukaryota; Viridiplantae; Streptophyta; Magnoliopsida; Poales; Poaceae
Description: snRNA U1
Rfam family: U1 spliceosomal RNA
About the family: U1 is a small nuclear RNA (snRNA) component of the spliceosome (involved in pre-mRNA splicing). Its 5' end forms complementary base pairs with the 5' splice junction, thus defining the 5' donor site of an intron. There are significant differences in sequence and secondary structure between metazoan and yeast U1 snRNAs, the latter being much longer (568 nucleotides as compared to 164 nucleotides in human).
Source: RNAcentral
GCACUUACCUGGACGGGGUCAAUGGGUGAUCAAGAAGACCCAUGGCCUGGAUUAGUGGCCUCCAUUGCACUUGGGAGGAGCACUGGUGCACCAUCCCCUCCAGUAGGAGAAUGGACGUCAUAAUUUGUGAUAGAUGUGAUAGAGGGGGUACGCGUUCGCGCGGCCCCUGC